Molecule: ribosomal RNA, 1418 nt
Filed under: Klebsiella aerogenes
Lineage: Bacteria; Pseudomonadati; Pseudomonadota; Gammaproteobacteria; Enterobacterales; Enterobacteriaceae
Description: bacterial SSU rRNA
Rfam family: Bacterial small subunit ribosomal RNA
Source: RNAcentral
ACAGAGAGCUUGCUCUCGGGUGACGAGCGGCGGACGGGUGAGUAAUGUCUGGGAAACUGCCUGAUGGAGGGGGAUAACUACUGGAAACGGUAGCUAAUACCGCAUAACGUCGCAAGACCAAAGUGGGGGACCUUCGGGCCUCAUGCCAUCAGAUGUGCCCAGAUGGGAUUAGCUAGUAGGUGGGGUAAUGGCUCACCUAGGCGACGAUCCCUAGCUGGUCUGAGAGGAUGACCAGCCACACUGGAACUGAGACACGGUCCAGACUCCUACGGGAGGCAGCAGUGGGGAAUAUUGCACAAUGGGCGCAAGCCUGAUGCAGCCAUGCCGCGUGUAUGAAGAAGGCCUUCGGGUUGUAAAGUACUUUCAGCGAGGAGGAAGGCGUUAAGGUUAAUAACCUUGGUGAUUGACGUUACUCGCAGAAGAAGCACCGGCUAACUCCGUGCCAGCAGCCGCGGUAAUACGGAGGGUGCAAGCGUUAAUCGGAAUUACUGGGCGUAAAGCGCACGCAGGCGGUCUGUCAAGUCGGAUGUGAAAUCCCCGGGCUCAACCUGGGAACUGCAUUCGAAACUGGCAGGCUAGAGUCUUGUAGAGGGGGGUAGAAUUCCAGGUGUAGCGGUGAAAUGCGUAGAGAUCUGGAGGAAUACCGGUGGCGAAGGCGGCCCCCUGGACAAAGACUGACGCUCAGGUGCGAAAGCGUGGGGAGCAAACAGGAUUAGAUACCCUGGUAGUCCACGCCGUAAACGAUGUCGACUUGGAGGUUGUGCCCUUGAGGCGUGGCUUCCGGAGCUAACGCGUUAAGUCGACCGCCUGGGGAGUACGGCCGCAAGGUUAAAACUCAAAUGAAUUGACGGGGGCCCGCACAAGCGGUGGAGCAUGUGGUUUAAUUCGAUGCAACGCGAAGAACCUUACCUACUCUUGACAUCCAGAGAACUUAGCAGAGAUGCUUUGGUGCCUUCGGGAACUCUGAGACAGGUGCUGCAUGGCUGUCGUCAGCUCGUGUUGUGAAAUGUUGGGUUAAGUCCCGCAACGAGCGCAACCCUUAUCCUUUGUUGCCAGCGGUUCGGCCGGGAACUCAAAGGAGACUGCCAGUGAUAAACUGGAGGAAGGUGGGGAUGACGUCAAGUCAUCAUGGCCCUUACGAGUAGGGCUACACACGUGCUACAAUGGCAUAUACAAAGAGAAGCGACCUCGCGAGAGCAAGCGGACCUCAUAAAGUAUGUCGUAGUCCGGAUUGGAGUCUGCAACUCGACUCCAUGAAGUCGGAAUCGCUAGUAAUCGUAGAUCAGAAUGCUACGGUGAAUACGUUCCCGGGCCUUGUACACACCGCCCGUCACACCAUGGGAGUGGGUUGCAAAAGAAGUAGGUAGCUUAACCUUCGGGAGGGCGCUUACCACUUUGUGAUUCAUGACUGGGGGAAG